Molecule: long non-coding RNA, 1829 nt
Filed under: Mus musculus (house mouse)
Lineage: Eukaryota; Metazoa; Chordata; Mammalia; Rodentia; Muridae
Description: long non-coding RNA chr12:98642224-98644053
Source: RNAcentral
AUUAAUUGAUCAGAAUUAUAUAAUGUAUAUAAAGUAGUAUUUUGAUGUCUAUAUAUAUUGUGGAAUGCUGACCCAGUCAAGACUACUAUAAACUCAUAUAUUCACCUUUUUAUUUGCAUCAAGAACACUUAAGAAAUUUGAAACAUUAUGAUAGUAGUAUUGGUAACCAUGCUUCAUAUUACAUUCUACAAAUAUCUGUUUUCACAACUGAAAAUGCUAUCCUUUUACUAACAUCUCUCCAUCUCCAGUCUAUGCUUUCCUGAUUUCACCACCUGGGGUCCUUGACUGCUUGGUGUCUGCAUGUAAGGGAGAUGAUGCGGCCUUUGUCUUUCUGUGUCUGGGCUACCUGCUUGACAAAGGUCCUCCAAGAUUCAUUCACAGCCUAGAAAGUGUUGCCUUUCUCGAAGGCUGAGACAGUCUGUUAUAUCAUAUACACUUCACACACAGUCAUUAGUUACUUACCUGCUAGGGAACAUUUAGAUUAUUUCUGUAUCUUGGCAGUUGUGAAUAAUUCAGAAAAUAUAGGGGUGUGCCUGUAUGACAGGCUGGUUUCAUUCCAUUUGGAUAUAGCCUGGAGGCAGGAUUGCUGAAACACACAGCACUUCUAUUACUAAAUCUCAAAGAACUCAUACAUCAAAUUAGUACAUGGCUGUCACUUGAAUUUAUACAUGGAUUGAUUCCCUUUUCUUCUACAUGUUUGCCAAUGCUUGUUAUGGUUUUUAUUUUCAUGUGUAUGUGUUUGUGGCUUGCAUACACACACACACACACAUACACAUAUACGUUGUUAUGUGUGUGGGUACAUAUGUGUAGAAUCAGAAGACAAUACUGGGAGUCAUUUCUUUUCUUCCAAAUUUAUGAGUUACAGGGAUUGCAUGAACUCAGGCUUGUCAGGGUAACAAGGGGAAAAUUUUAGCUAGUCCACCCUAAAUUAGUAUAUUCUAGUAGUUUUUUGCUGCCAGCCAAGCUCCAGAUCCAGUGAGCAACCUUGUCUCAAGGAAAUACAAUAGAGAGUGGUACACAAAGUGGUACCUGACCCUUUUGUGCACACUCCACCCCAACACACAUAUAAAUAGGAUAAGAGUUUUAGAAAUAAAAUCCAUAAUUGUCAGUUAAAAUAUUUAUGGGGUGCCUACCAUGUGCUACAUGUUGCUCAAAGACUAAAGUAAAAUGUUGAACAAAACUGAUUUCCAGAGCUUCCUGUGUAGUGAAAGGAGACAAACGAUGAGUAUAUACAAAGAAGGAAGCUAUGUCAGAUGGGGAUUCCUACAGUGAGGAGGUAGAGCCUGGUUAAAGAAAGCUAGGAGCCCCUUGGAGGAGAAGUUUUUUUUUUUUUUUGUUUUUGUUUUUUUUUUUGUCUUGGAGGGACAAGCAGAGACUUGAAAGAAUUUAGAGUAAUGUGGCCCUCCAAGGAAAGAGCAAUCCAGAGAGAAGAAGCAGCCUUGAAAUGGAACCAUGAUUGAUGAAUUAAAAGAAACAGUGUGGGGAGCAUGUGAACUAAACCUUCAGAAGAGUGAUAGAUGAUGUUACCCUGAGUUACACAUUGGGAGAACUUGGCCUUCAUGCUGAAUGAAGCUAAAAGCCACUGAAGGGUCUUGAGUAGAGGCAUCUCGGAGCCAAUUUCGCUUUCCAAAGCAUCCCUCUGGCUGCUGAGGUGAAAAUAGACCAGAAUGCCAUCACUGAAGAGUGUGGAUAGGUAGAGGGUAGACUGCAUUGAUAGUAGUGAAGAGAGAAUGAAAUGGUUUCCGUGGAUACAUUCCAACCAUGUCUGUCAAUGGCUUAGAUAGGCCUAGGGUGUGAGAGAAAGGAGGGGAAAAAAGAGAAGAGAAGAC